RNAcentral lists this long non-coding RNA (1237 nucleotides) under Monodelphis domestica (gray short-tailed opossum). Its description in RNAcentral is "lncRNA (ENSMODG00000039934.1)". Lineage: Eukaryota; Metazoa; Chordata; Mammalia; Didelphimorphia; Didelphidae. The record is from RNAcentral.
ACCCAAAUGUUUCCUCUGUGGAAAAAUGGGUCACAUGGUUUGAAACUGUUAUUUAAAGGCACAAUUAUUCCAAGCUAAUAACAAACAGAGGUCUUGGAAAAACCAGUUGGGAUUGGAGUAUUUUCUCAGCUUCAGACCUGAGGCCAGGCCCCAGAGGCUGGUGGAGGGUUCUCCCACUCCCGUCUACUCUAUAUCAGUCCAGUUUUGUCUUUUUAGAAUCUUAGCAGUAGACAGAAAGCACACAAGAACAGCUCUAACCUUCAGAAGAGAUUGGGCUUGAAUUUUCAGGCUGAACCAAGAAGAGGAGCACCACACCAGACUGGGAUAGCAAGCUCCUUCCUCCUCCAACACCAGGAAGCCAGUCCCCCCCUGGCAGGAAGGAAGGAAGGAAGUGCUAGUCACAAGACCCAACUGCCACACCCGUCAGGAAGGAAGUGCUAGUCACAAGACCCAAUUGCCACUCCCAGUUGGCCCCUUCCCCCACAAACUGUCAGUCUUGUUUCCUUUCCACAGGCCUUACCACUCCUUUGCCUUAGAACCAAUACACAAUUUUGAUUCCAAGACAGAAGGGUUCCAUUCUGGCUGCAUUCAACAGGAAUCCAUUUGCUCUUUCUAAAUAUAGGCCCUCAGCUCUGAUUUCUGCCUGGGUUGUGGUCUGGUUCAGCUUUACAAUAAGAUCACACCCAAUAAAAUCUAAGAGAUAUGUAAAAAAGGUACUACUACUACUAUUACUACUACUACUACUACUACUACUACUACUACUACUACUACUACUACUAACUACUACUACUACUACUACUACUACUACUACUACUAUUCCUAUUAUAUAGGUAUCUCAGUGUAUAGAGCAUUGGACCUGGAAUCAGGAAGACCUGAAUUCAAAUUUGGCCUCAGAUACUAGCUGUGUGACCCUGGGCAAGUCAUUUAACCCUGUUUGCCUCAGUUUCCUCAUUCUAUCCUCAUUCCUCAUGAGCUGGAGAAGGACACAGCAAAACCCUCCAGAAUCUUUGCCCAGAAAACCCUAAAUGGAGUCAUGAAGAGUCAGUUACAAUAGAAAUGACAACAAAAGUUUCAUGAGACUGUGGUAGUUGAUUUUAUGUUGACUAAUUCUGGGGAAAGAUUUUGGGGAGCUUUUCAAUAGUCAGGGUAAGGCCUUACUGGAUGUAUCACAAAUGGAGAAAUUAAAGAUCAAAAAUUUAACAAUAAACAGCGAGAUCAUCUAAAGAAAGAUGGGGGA